UACGUAGGCAGCGAGCGUUGUUCGGAAUUAUUGGGCGUAAAGCGCGCGCAGGCGGUUUCUUAAGUCUGAUGUGAAAGCCCACGGCUCAACCGUGGAGGGUCAUUGGAAACUGGGGAACUUGAGUGCAGAAGAGAAAAGCGGAAUUCCACGUGUAGCGGUGAAAUGCGUAGAGAUGUGGAGGAACACCAGUGGCGAAGGCGGCUUUUUGGUCUGUAACUGACGCUGAGGCGCGAAAGCGUGGGGAGCAAACAGG
This 253-nucleotide ribosomal RNA is filed under the name uncultured bacterium. RNAcentral describes it as "partial 16S ribosomal RNA". It matches the Rfam family "Bacterial small subunit ribosomal RNA", at positions 524 to 776 of the family's 1533-position model. The record is from RNAcentral.